GUUAUAGGGUCAAGCGAACAAGUGCAUGUGGUGGAUGCCUUGGCGAUCACAGGCGAUGAAGGACGCGGUAGCCUGCGAAAAGCUACGGGGAGCUGGCAAACGAGCUUUGAUCCGUA
Molecule: ribosomal RNA, 116 nt
Filed under: Burkholderia pseudomallei
Lineage: Bacteria; Pseudomonadati; Pseudomonadota; Betaproteobacteria; Burkholderiales; Burkholderiaceae
Also listed under: 10 other names
Description: partial 23S ribosomal RNA
Rfam family: Bacterial large subunit ribosomal RNA
Source: RNAcentral